RNAcentral lists this transfer RNA (59 nucleotides) under Staphylococcus aureus. RNAcentral's name for it is "tRNA-Asn". It matches the Rfam family "tRNA", at positions 7 to 64 of the family's 71-position model. Rfam says of the family: Transfer RNA (tRNA) molecules are approximately 80 nucleotides in length. Their secondary structure includes four short double-helical elements and three loops (D, anti-codon, and T loops). Further hydrogen bonds mediate the characteristic L-shaped molecular structure. tRNAs have two regions of fundamental functional importance: the anti-codon, which is responsible for specific mRNA codon recognition, and the 3' end, to which the tRNAs corresponding amino acid is attached (by aminoacyl-tRNA synthetases). tRNAs cope with the degeneracy of the genetic code in two manners: having more than one tRNA (with a specific anti-codon) for a particular amino acid; and 'wobble' base-pairing, i.e. permitting non-standard base-pairing at the 3rd anti-codon position. The record is from RNAcentral. RNAcentral also lists the same sequence under 1 other name. Lineage: Bacteria; Bacillati; Bacillota; Bacilli; Caryophanales; Staphylococcaceae.
GUAGCUCAGUGGUAGAGCUAUCGGCUGUUAACCGAUCGGUCGUAGGUUCGAGUCCUACC